RNAcentral lists this long non-coding RNA (2015 nucleotides) under Mytilus galloprovincialis (Mediterranean mussel). Lineage: Eukaryota; Metazoa; Mollusca; Bivalvia; Mytilida; Mytilidae. The record is from RNAcentral.
UUGAUUUAAACUAAAUCUUUAAGCAUGUUUAACAGUAAAGAUGAUGCUUCAUUUUGCAAUAAAUGUCUGAAAUUUUAUACCAUAUGAAAAUAUAAGUUUUGGCAAAUAACAGUAACACUUGUAAUAAUAUUUUUAUGUGAUCGUAAAUAUCUAUGCAUUGAGAGGGGUUGAUUUUCAGUUGCAUUUUCCAAGAUCUGUUGUAUGUUGAGGGAAAUCUGUAUGCCACUGUGAUCAUAAUGGGUUAUAAAUGUCAGUCCAGGCUGUCUUCUCUCCAAUCCCAAGAUGGUCCAGAAGCUUUUCCACUAAAUCUGCGGUAUGAAGUAGUUGGUUAAUUUGCAUGAAAUAUUUGAAGUUUUGUUAUCCUUUAAAUACCACUUGAAGGAUUUCUCACUUGUACAAAGAAUAAAUGCACCUUUGAAGUGUCUCUUACUACCUCUAAUAUACUUAAUAAUUUGAAAUAGCAUUUGAAAUUUUUGCUUAAUUUUGAAGUUAUAUUUCAGUAAACUUAAUUUUAAAUGAAAUACAGUUUUAAAAGUUUGCUUUUCUGCUAAUUAUAAUACAUUUGUUCAGUUUGAGGGAGGGGAUUAAUAUGAAAUAGAUUUUCUUGGCAGUGUUAUAUCUUAAUCACGAACAGCAGAUUUUUGCACAUGUGCUUUGCCUAGUUGUCAUGCUGCAUUUAUCUCCGCCAUUUCCAUCCUACUAAAAACCCUAAUGAUGAUGAUACUAUGUGUAUAAUGUAAUGAGGUGAAAAAGGAAAUAUGUUAUAAGAUGUGGAGUAAAUUGAGUUCAAAUUGGUAAGCCCAUUUUCUUAUUGUCUUGCUGAAGUUCAGCCAUGAUUUUGCAAAGUAAAAAAGAAUUUUAGAAUGCAGUAUUAAUUUUUGAGGACAAUUGAAAAGUAUUCAAAUGUAAAAUAAUUGUAACCAAAAUAUUAUAUUUAUAUCUUAUGAAAUGGUGAAAGAAAGAACUUGUUACUUUUGUUAAAGUUUUCAUCAGCAGCCUUCUAGCUUUUAAUAGUUUAUUUUGGAACAUGAAAAGAUAAAAUGAGUAUUUGAUCUUUUAGAAAUUAACUGGGGAGGGGGUUUGUGUAUUUUUAAUCUCGUAUAGUUUAUUGUCAGGAAAUAGAGGUUUAUUGUCGGGAAUUGUUGAGAAAUAGAAAAUAGAAAUGUGAACUGAAGAGUGGUAACCAUUAUAACUUAUCGAGCGUUGUCAUUAUUUUGCUAAUUGAAUAAUUCAAAUGAAAUAUAAAUCAGUUUUGAUAUUAACUUAUUUCAGUAUUCAGAUUUUAAUGUGGUGGUUUCUUGACUUGUAUUAAAAUUUUCUGUGAAUUAAGCUUUUAAGGUUAAUUAAUAGUGGGAGAGUGGUGGGGGAACUGCAUUACUAAUAAUUUAUUUGUCAAACUCCUUGAAAACAGCAGGUUAACUUGCAGUGAUAAGGCAUCCUCACAGUUUCUUGUAUUGAUCCUGCUUGAAAGAAUCAUUUCCCAUGUAAAAAUGUAAAGGUAUAGAGAGAUUAACACGUCCUGACCAGAUUAGUAGCUUAAAACUGCCUUAAAGUAGAGAAGUUCAUGAAAGAUCAUAUGCAUAACAAUGAGUUGUAAAAUGGUAACUUAUUUUUAUGUUGGUGUAUUAUGUAAAUGGUUUCAAACAUCAUGUCAAAACAAGUUUUCUCAUAUCUGUACUAUUUAAAUUGCAAACAUAAUUGAUAUACAAUCAAUUUUUGAUGAUAUCUGUAUUGUAAAUAAUAUCAAUUUUCUAUAAUUAUUUAUAAAUCUUAAUUUCUGUUACUAUAUUGUCAGUACAUUAAUUGGUCAAAUUAGAAAAAUAAGGGGUUAGGCUGUUGCUAACUAAUUUUUUACCAGCUAAGUAUGACCUGUGGAAGAAUGUCCUGAAAAAUAGAGUAAAGAAGCAUAGCAUGUGGUGUGACAGAAAGCUUGAAACCUACAGUAAAGUUAACAGAAAGAGGUUCAUUAUGAUAGCCUGUAUAAAAUAAUAUUUAGUGGAAAGACCCAGAGACAA